This 402-nucleotide ribosomal RNA is filed under the name uncultured bacterium. RNAcentral describes it as "partial 16S ribosomal RNA". It matches the Rfam family "Bacterial small subunit ribosomal RNA", at positions 355 to 774 of the family's 1533-position model. The record is from RNAcentral.
UGGGGAAUAUUGGACAAUGGGCGAAAGCCUGAUCCAGCCAUGCCGCAUGAGUGAAGAAGGCCUUUGGGUUGUAAAGCUCUUUUAGUGAGGAAGAUAAUGACGGUACUCACAGAAGAAGUCCUGGCUAACUCCGUGCAAGCAGCCGCGGUAAUACGGAGAGGGCUAGCGUUAUUCGGAAUUAUUGGGCGUAAAGGGCGCGUAGGCUGGUUAAUAAGUUAAAAGUGAAAUCCCGAGGCUUAACCUUGGAAUUGCUUUUAAAACUAUUAAUCUAGAGAUUGAAAGAGGAUAGAGGAAUUCCUGAUGUAGAGGUAAAAUUCGUAAAUAUUAGGAGGAACACCGGUGGCGAAGGCGUCUAUCUGGUUCAAAUCUGACGCUGAAGCGCGAAGGCGUGGGGAGCAAACA